AUACGGAGGGUGCAAGCGUUAAUCGGAAUUACUGGGCGUAAAGCGCGCGUAGGCGGUUUAGUAAGUCGGAUGUGAAAGCCCUGGGCUCAACCUGGGAAUUGCAUUCGAUACUGCUUGGCUAGAGUAUGGUAGAGGGUAGUGGAAUUCCUGGUGUAGCGGUGAAAUGCGUAGAUAUCAGGAGGAACAUCAGUGGCGAAGGCGGCUUCCUGGCCCAAUACUGACGCUAAGGUGCGAAAGCGUGGGGAGCAAACAGGAUUAGAAACCCCGGUAGUCC
RNAcentral lists this ribosomal RNA (274 nucleotides) under uncultured bacterium. RNAcentral describes it as "partial 16S ribosomal RNA". It matches the Rfam family "Bacterial small subunit ribosomal RNA", at positions 523 to 796 of the family's 1533-position model. The record is from RNAcentral.